GUUAGGAAUAUUGGACAAUGGGCGCAAGCCUGAUCCAGCCAUGCCACGUGAGUGAUGAAGGCCUUCGGGUUGUAAAGCUCUUUAGCCGAUGAUUAUAAUGACUGUAGUCGGAAAAUAAGCCCCGGCUAACUUCGUGCCAGCAGCCGCGGUAAUACGAAGGGGGCGAGCGUUAUUCGGAAUCACUGGGCGUAAAGCGUGCGUAGGCGGCUUUGCAAGUUGGGAGUGAAAGCCCAGGGCUCAACCCUGGAAUUGCUCUCAAAACUGCAAGGCUCGAAUUCGGGAGAGGAUAGCGGAAUUGUCAGUGUAGCAGUGAAAUGCGUAGAUAUUGACAGGAACACCAGUGGCGUAAGCGGCUAUCUGGACCGAUAUUGACGCUGAGGCACGAAAGCGUGGGGAUCAAACAGGAUUAGAUACCCUGGUAGUCC
RNAcentral lists this ribosomal RNA (425 nucleotides) under uncultured bacterium. RNAcentral describes it as "partial 16S ribosomal RNA". It matches the Rfam family "Bacterial small subunit ribosomal RNA", at positions 354 to 796 of the family's 1533-position model. The record is from RNAcentral.